GCUCCGGUGGCCUAGUGGUUAGAGCGUCCGCCUCAGAUGCGUGAGGUCGUUGUCUGAAUACCCGGUCGAGGCA
This is a non-coding RNA of Potamilus streckersoni, 73 nucleotides long. The record is from the annotation of a GenBank genome assembly. Lineage: Eukaryota; Metazoa; Mollusca; Bivalvia; Unionida; Unionidae.